Molecule: ribosomal RNA, 454 nt
Filed under: uncultured bacterium
Lineage: Bacteria
Description: partial 16S ribosomal RNA
Rfam family: Bacterial small subunit ribosomal RNA
Source: RNAcentral
GAUGAACGCUGACAGAAUGCUUAACACAUGCAAGUCAACUUGAACUUCGGUUUGGGUGGCGGACGGGUGAGUAACGCGUAAAGAACUUGCCUCACAGAUAGGGACAACAUUUGGAAACGAAUGCUAAUACCUGAUAUUAUGAUUAUAUGGCAUCGUAUAAUUAUGAAAGCUAUAUGCGCUGUGAGAGAGCUUUGCGUCCCAUUAGCCAGUUGGAGAGGUAACGGCUCACCAAGGCGAUGAUGGGUAGCCGGCCUGAGAGGGUGAUCGGCCACAAGGGGACUGAGACACGGCCCUUACUCCUACGGGAGGCAGCAGUGGGGAAUAUUGGACAAUGGACCAAGAGUCUGAUCCAGCAAUUCUGUGUGCACGAUGAAGUUUUUCGGAAUGUAAAGUGCUUUCAGUUGGGAAGAAAAAAAUGACGGUACCAACAGAAGAAGUGACGGCUAAAUACGUG